GACAAUGUUUUAUCAUUGUUCUUGGUUUACAGACGUUACCCGUAAAUAAACUGGACCCCUGUUGUGUUUAUUUAUCGCUGCACUGAGCCUCCUGCACUACGAUGGAAUGGCGGACCAGUUUAAACAUGGUAAACAGAUAAACAGCUGAUUAAGUAACCUGUAAGAAGAAAUGAGUUAACUAUUGUUUAUAUUAGAGACGAGAAUGUCUCGUGUUUUGUUCUGCUCAGAAAAGCCGGAACCUUGGAGUUUAUGCCCCAGAAUGGUCAGAACAGUGGCAAAAGACUAAUCCAGAUUACCAAAAAAUAGAAAUUGUUCAGCUACCAUUCAUGCCAUAAGCAUGAUAAGAAAAAUUUUGCAGUUUCCAGAAUUUGAGGUAAUCAAGAUUUAGUGUUUCCAUGCAAGUGUCAAAGAUUGAACGACAAAACAUCUAAAACUUUACAGGACAGAGUAGACUUUUUUCACUGUGCUUCAUUUUGUCUUUAUGUCUAAAUAAUGAUACAUUUUAAAAAACCAAUAAAAUAUGGAAUAAAAAAGAUUGUUAUCUUAUAAAAUGGAGU
This is a long non-coding RNA of Mytilus californianus (California mussel), 557 nucleotides long. RefSeq lists it as uncharacterized. The record is from RefSeq and is a predicted model, not a curated record. NCBI's taxonomy places the organism in Eukaryota, Metazoa, Mollusca, Bivalvia, Mytilida, Mytilidae. The transcript has 3 exons.